AGUCAGAGGCGAUGAAGGACGUGCUAAUCUGCGAUAAGCGUCGGUAAGGUGAUAUGAACCGUUAUAACCGGCGAUUUCCGAAUGGGGAAACCCAGUGUGAUUCGUCACACUAUCAUUAACUGAAUCCAUAGGUUAAUGAGGCGAACCGGGGGAACUGAAACAUCUAAGUACCCCGAGGAAAAGAAAUCAACCGAGAUUCCCCCAGUAGCGGCGAGCGAACGGGGAGCAGCCCAGAGCCUGAAUCAGUGUGUGUGUUAGUGGAAGCGUCUGGAAAGGCGUGCGAUACAGGGUGACAGCCCCGUACACAAAAAUGCACAUACUGUGAGCUCGAUGAGUAGGGCGGGACACGUGGUAUCCUGUCUGAAUAUGGGGGGACCAUCCUCCAAGGCUAAAUACUCCUGACUGACCGAUAGUGAACCAGUACCGUGAGGGAAAGGCGAAAAGAACCCCGGCGAGGGGAGUGAAAAAGAACCUGAAACCGUGUACGUACAAGCAGUGGGAGCACGCUUAGGCGUGUGACUGCGUACCUUUUGUAUAAUGGGUCAGCGACUUAUAUUCUGUAGCAAGGUUAACCGAAUAGGGGAGCCGAAGGGAAACCGAGUCUUAACUGGGCGUUAAGUUGCAGGGUAUAGACCCGAAACCCGGUGAUCUAGCCAUGGGCAGGUUGAAGGUUGGGUAACACUAACUGGAGGACCGAACCGACUAAUGUUGAAAAAUUAGCGGAUGACUUGUGGCUGGGGGUGAAAGGCCAAUCAAACCGGGAGAUAGCUGGUUCUCCCCGAAAGCUAUUUAGGUAGCGCCUCGUGAAUUCAUCUCCGGGGGUAGAGCACUGUUUCGGCAAGGGGGUCAUCCCGACUUACCAACCCGAUGCAAACUGCGAAUACCGGAGAAUGUUAUCACGGGAGACACACGGCGGGUGCUAACGUCCGUCGUGAAGAGGGAAACAACCCAGACCGCCAGCUAAGGUCCCAAAGUCAUGGUUAAGUGGGAAACGAUGUGGGAAGGCCCAGACAGCCAGGAUGUUGGCUUAGAAGCAGCCAUCAUUUAAAGAAAGCGUAAUAGCUCACUGGUCGAGUCGGCCUGCGCGGAAGAUGUAACGGGGCUAAACCAUGCACCGAAGCUGCGGCAGCGACGCUUAUGCGUUGUUGGGUAGGGGAGCGUUCUGUAAGCCUGUGAAGGUGUGCUGUGAGGUAUGCUGGAGGUAUCAGAAGUGCGAAUGCUGACAUAAGUAACGAUAAAGCGGGUGAAAAGCCCGCUCGCCGGAAGACCAAGGGUUCCUGUCCAACGUUAAUCGGGG
Molecule: ribosomal RNA, 1297 nt
Filed under: Shigella flexneri
Lineage: Bacteria; Pseudomonadati; Pseudomonadota; Gammaproteobacteria; Enterobacterales; Enterobacteriaceae
Description: partial 23S ribosomal RNA
Rfam family: Bacterial large subunit ribosomal RNA
Source: RNAcentral